RNAcentral lists this long non-coding RNA (1120 nucleotides) under Equus caballus (horse). RNAcentral's name for it is "lncRNA (ENSECAG00000050284.1)". The record is from RNAcentral. Lineage: Eukaryota; Metazoa; Chordata; Mammalia; Perissodactyla; Equidae.
GAGGACUGCAGGGUUUGGGGGUGGGUGCUUGAGAGGUAGGAGGUAAGAGAGCUCUGGAGGGAGGGGAGGUGUCAGCAAAGGCUCAGUGGGCGCCAGGCACCCCUGUGGGACGUGGGGCUAGAGGUGAGGGGGCUGGAGGAGGGCGUGACCAGCGGGAGGGUGAGAAUCAAGGGGGUGGUCCUGGGGGCUUUGAUGCCCCAACUGCUGGGAAACAGCAGCAAGCCCUCAGGCCCAGCCUGUCGCCUGCACGCUCCAAAUUAAAUAACUCCAACUCCCCUCUUAUUUCCUCUCUGACAGCAACUUAUCGCGAAGGCAGACGCUCCUGACAUUCUAAUAUUCAGAGUCACAUCCUGUGGGAUAAACCCAUCGCUGUUGUCUGAGCCAACGAUUUGUACCAGGAGCGGAGGGAGCCGGGAGGGGCCAGGAGACGCUGGGCCUGGGGCUGCUGGAGGAAAGGGAAAAGAGGAAAAGCACUCAGGCCUGAAAGGAAGUACAAAAACCUGGAAGAGAGAAGCUCUGAGAACACCCUGAAGACUUGCUGACCGCUCUGGCCUUUAAAAUGCGAGGAGUAUGGUAAUCUAAUAAACGUGGCAACAAAGCCUUUGUCACCAAGCUAAUUUUAUUAGAACAGAUCUCAAAUGGCUAAUUUCCUUUUACUAAUGAGCAAAUUAGUUGAAUCUCUGAUCUGCUUUUAAGGCACUUAUACUAAUAAAACAUGAACGACAGUGAAAUUUGUUGUGAGAUGUGGUGACAUCCUUGGGUUGCAGUGAGUCUCCAAGCUUGGAGGGUUGUUCUGACGUGGCCUGGCCCAGGGGGGCCUCCUGUCUGUGCAGGUCUGCUCAGAGCCCAGCCCCGCCUGAGGGAGGCAGGGUGUCAGAGGGGGACACAGGAUGGAGGAGGAAGGAGGGAGGAGGAGGAGGAGGAUGGAGGGGACAGGAGAGGAGAAUGGAGGCGGGGGAGCAGCAGGAGGUGGAUGGAGGAGGAGGAGACGGAAGAGGAGGACGGAGGAGAAUAGAGGAGGAUAGCAGAGGAGGAGGAUGGAGGAGGAAGAUGGAAGAGGAGAAAGGUGGAGGAAUCAGAGAAAGGAGGCAGGAGAUGGAAGAGGAUGGAGGAGGAAAUG